AUGGCCUUCCCUUUCCCUUUCCCUUUCCCUUUCCCUUUCCCUUUCCCUUUCCCUUUCCCUUUCCCUUCCCUAGAUACCACGGCUCCCACUGCGCCUGCUGCCCGCAGCCGCCCCCGCGCUGGCGUGGGCUCCGCGCCGCAGCAAGCACCUAGGACAGCUCCCGCCCGCGCCGCCCAUUGGUCCGGGCGCGUCACGUGCCCGUGCCAUGCCGCCGGGGGGCCGCGGCCGCUGCUGAUUCAUUGGCUGUGGCGGGGCGCGGCUCGGCUCGGCUCGGCUCGGCUGGCUUGGCGUUGCAGCUACUGCCACCGCCGCGGGGCGGCGCCCCAGCAGGCAGGAAGAUUGGGUAUUCCUCAUACAUAACCUUGAGCUGGAUCUCAAGUCCUGCACAUCUAGGAUCUUGUGAAUUGGCUAAGAAUCACAGACCAUUUGGCUAAGUAUUUCCUGCAGACUCCUUUCUCAUCUGUGCUUGGAAGUGGCACAGCUUGCUCAAAAAAGUAGCCAUAGGUUAGGGCUGUAGAAAGCUGGGAUCUGUAUAUGUUUUAGCUCAUGCAGUGCAGAGUAGUUAAGUUUGUGCUCCGUUUCUUCAUUGACUCCUUUCUCUGUGAUUUCAUUUCUUAGUCCUUGUGGUGGGGUAAAAAACAGUGCAGUGGUGACGAUGGCUGGUUCCUUUGCCCCCAGUGUGCAGAAUAUUGCUGCUAUUAUGGAGACUCAGGGUACAGGAACAGCCUGAGUUGUUAACUUCUUGUAGCCAGCAGCUUCUGGUUUAAUUGCACUGCCUAGCCCAUGGAGCUGAUGCAUCAAUCUUACUUAGCCUUAGACUCCUCACUUUGAAAUGUUGCUGCUUUCCAUUCCUGCUUGGCUUCUGUGAUCUUCACAGUUUGCAAGGGGCCAGCAGUUUGUUUAUUCUAUGAAGUCUAUCAAGCGUUCAGACUCUACAGCAGUAAGCAGAAUGGAAACAUGAAAAAUUAAUGUAAUGUUUGAUUGAAAACGUGCCUCAUUGCUUGCAUCUUCCUUACUGGUAGUUUAUUUUGCUUCGGAUAUUAACAAGUACACUGACCAGUCUAUAUAAAUUUACUGUUGUGCGUGCAGGUUGGAUUUGGAGGUGGUUGUUGCUGGUUACAUACUAGGCCAGUUCCAGAUGUGUACAAAACCAGAUUUGCCUUGGUGGCCCCAGUGGCAGCUUAAACCACGAAGCUGUGCUUCAGAUAUAAUGUGUGUCCAGUUUUUCCAUUAGAGUGCCUUGGUGUCGGCGUGGAAGGUAAGUGGUUGUGCAGAGCAGAUUUGCUGAUGAUAUCCAGAGUGAUGCAAAUAGUCCAGCUGCAGUUCAGAGAUGCAGAUUUUGUGCAGAGGUAGACCUGCA
Molecule: long non-coding RNA, 1360 nt
Filed under: Numida meleagris (helmeted guineafowl)
Lineage: Eukaryota; Metazoa; Chordata; Aves; Galliformes; Numididae
Description: lncRNA (ENSNMEG00000011539.1)
Source: RNAcentral